GUCGUUCCUAAUCAAAUAAUCCUCUCUACAAACAAAUUAUCCACAAAUUUGCUUGUCUGUAAAUUAAUAACUGAACUGUAAUUAGAACUCUAUUUCCUUUUUUGGAAAUAGUUAUGUUUUCCAUUUAAAGAUCUAUCUUUACCAUAGCCCCCUCCUAUAUAUUUACAUUACGUGCAAAUUCAUGAAUCCCAAAUUCAAAACGAGGUAGGAUUACUAGCAGUAGUCUAAAUGUGCCACGGCCUGCUAUCUUGUAGCAAUUUUGGAUGCACGUUUGGAUUGCAAGUUAAAAGUUUGGGAUGCAGGUCACGAGCCAGGAGCACGGAGUGUUUAGCUUUACAUUUUAGCUAUGUAAUAAUUUCUUUGGGCUCCACUGUAGUUGGUAUUAUACAUUUGAGGACUAUGCUAUAGAUGUUGUAAAGGCUGUACGCCUUAUAUUCUUCAUUCAGACUUGUUGUAUUUGAGGCUUGUUGAGAAUCUCAGUAUAUUCAUUUCAGACAUUGUUUUUGUACUAUCUGCAUGUUGGAUGAUGAAAUAGCAUUUUGAUCCCUAUUA
Asparagus officinalis (garden asparagus) is the source of this 552-nucleotide long non-coding RNA. RefSeq lists it as uncharacterized. The record is from RefSeq and is a predicted model, not a curated record. The transcript is spliced from 3 exons. Lineage: Eukaryota; Viridiplantae; Streptophyta; Magnoliopsida; Asparagales; Asparagaceae.